UUGAAAAAUUUUUAUUUAAAAAGAAAAAUUUAUUUUUUGUACCUUGUGUAUCAGGGUUUAUUAAAUAAUUAAUAAUUAUAGAUAUUGAUCUCGAUUUUAUAAGAGUUAAUAAUUUAAUUAAAGUUAAUGUUUCAUAAUUAUUUUAAAUAAAUUAUUAGAGAUGAAAUGUUAUUCGGUUAUAAAAGUAUCUAGUUUUUUUAGAAAUAAAUUUAAUUUAAAAAUUUUUAAUUUUUUAUUUUAUUAUUUUAAUAAUAAAUAAAUUUUCGAAUUUAAAUAUUUUAAGGGAUAAGCUUUAAAAUAAAAUUAUUAAAAUUUAAUUAAUAAAAAUAUUUAAAAUAUAUGCAUAGAAUUAGCAAUUAUUAUUAAUUUUGUUAUAAAUUAUUUAUAAAAUAAUAUUAUUUAUUAAUAUUUUAAUUUUUUUUAUAAAAAUAUUUUUUUUAAUUUGAGAUAAAAAGAAAUAAUGAUAAAAUUAGUAUAUAAUAAUAUGUAAAAAUAAUUUAAUUUGAUAAUUUUAAAUAAAGAACUCGGCAAAUAUUUUACUCGCCUGUUUAACAAAAACAUGUCUUUUUGAGUUAAUUUUAAAGUCUAGCCUGCCCAAUGAAAUAGUUUAAUGGCCGCAGUAAUUUGACUGUGCAAAGGUAGCAUAAUAAUUAGUCUUUUAAUUGAAGGCUUGUAUGAAUGGUUGGACGAAGUAUAAUCUGUUUCAUUUAAAUUUAUUAUAGAAUUUUAUAUUUUAGUAAAAAAGCUAAAAUUUUUUUAAAAGACGAGAAGACCCUAUAAAUCUUUAUAAUUUACAUUAUUUUUAUUUUUUGGAUUUAAUUUAUUUUAAUAAUUUAAAUUAUUUUAUUGGGGUGAUAUUAAAAUUUAAUUAACUUUUAAUUUAUUUUAACAUUAAUUUAUGAUUUAUUGAUCCAUUAAUAAUGAUUAUAAGAAUAAGUUACUUUAGGGAUAACAGCGUAAUUUUUUUAGAGAGUUCUUAUUGAUAAAAAAGUUUGCGACCUCGAUGUUGGAUUAAGAUAUAAUUUUAGGUGUA
RNAcentral lists this ribosomal RNA (1033 nucleotides) under Capitites ramulosa. RNAcentral's name for it is "partial 16S ribosomal RNA". The record is from RNAcentral. Lineage: Eukaryota; Metazoa; Arthropoda; Insecta; Diptera; Tephritidae.